UUUUCCCGAAUGAAGAAGAGCUAACCUUAUAUAUGUAUUAGCUUUAUGUUUAUUAAUGUUAAAUGUAUUAUGCUUAUAUAUACGGUUAGGGGCGAAACACCUUCAAUUCCUUUAAUAUCUGGUUCCUAAGGAAAUGCAUUUAGUGCAGAAAAGAGUUUGAGCUAAGAGGCGCUAAGGUCUUCUAGAAGCUUAAAUAUAGGUCAACUUUUCCCUUUGGGAUAAAACCCUCAAGGUUAAAGAGUUACAAAUUUUUAUUUUAUUAUUAAGUAUUUAUAUUUAGGGUCCCUUAGCAAUAGCUGUAAGGAUACACUAUGUUUAAAUUAGUAUUAUUAGAAAUCCCCUAUAAGGAACUCGGCAAAUUUACUUUUCGUCUGUUUAUCAAAAACAUUGUCUGUUGUAAUAAUAAUAGGUCUUAUCUGCCCAGUGUAUUAUUAUUAACGGCCGCAGUACCCUGACUGUGCUAAGGUAGCAUAAUAAAUUGGCUCUUAAUUAGGGUCUUGAAUGAAGGAGAGCACGAAGAUUUACUGUCUCCCUGGGGAUAAUUAGAAGUUCCUACAUGAGGUGAAAAUUCCUUUAAGAAAGUCUAUUAGACAAGAAGACCCUUAGAGCUUUUAAUAGACAGGUUUACUUAUAUAUUAAUUCUGGCUUUUUUGUUGGGGCGACAAGGUAGCAUAUUAACCUACCUAAUAAAUCUUGACUUGACAGGUUUAUCAUGAGAGAUAAAGCUACCUGAGGGAUAACAGCGCAAUAGAUUACUCUGCUUGCGACCUCGAUGUUGGAUUAGGUGUUAAGAUUUCUAAAAGAUUUCUUAAUUAGUUCUGUUCGAACAUUACAAACCUACAUGAUCUGAGUUCAGACCGGCGUAAGC
Molecule: ribosomal RNA, 868 nt
Filed under: Chlamydephorus sexangulus
Lineage: Eukaryota; Metazoa; Mollusca; Gastropoda; Stylommatophora; Chlamydephoridae
Description: partial 16S ribosomal RNA
Rfam family: Archaeal large subunit ribosomal RNA
Source: RNAcentral